AAUCUGGUGUUGAGGAAAGUCCGGGCUUCACAGGGCAGGAUGCCGGAUAACGUCCGGUGGGAGCAAUCCUAAGGAAAGUGCAACAGAAAGUAUACCGCCUGCCGUAAGGUAGGUAAGGGUGAAAUGGCAGUGUAAGAGACUACCGCUUGUCUGGUAACAGAUGAGGCAUUGUAAACCCCAUCCGAAGCAACUCUAAAAUGAGAUUAGGCGGCCCGCUAUUACUACUCAUGGUAAGAGGCUAGAGGCAAUUGGCGACAGUUGCAGUAGAUAGAUGAUCACUCUCGACAUAACCCGGCUUACGAU
Molecule: RNase P RNA, 303 nt
Filed under: bovine gut metagenome
Description: Bacterial RNase P class A
Rfam family: Bacterial RNase P class A
About the family: Ribonuclease P (RNase P) is a ubiquitous endoribonuclease, found in archaea, bacteria and eukarya as well as chloroplasts and mitochondria. Its best characterised activity is the generation of mature 5'-ends of tRNAs by cleaving the 5'-leader elements of precursor-tRNAs.
Source: RNAcentral